GAGGCGUCAAGGGAGGCCGGAGGGAGAGUGGGGUGGACAGAGGAGCGGAGGGACGAGAGGGAAGCGCACGAUAGCUGCGCGGAGAGAGAGCGAAGAGCAGGCGGAGGAACAAAGGCGACCCAAGACACCCAGAGAGGGACAGGAACCAUGGAGUCUGGCAGUACCGCCGCCAGUGAGGAGGCACGCAGCCUUCGAGAAUGUGAGCUCUACGUCCAGAAGCAUAACAUUCAAGCGCUGCUCAAAGAUUCUAUUGUGCAGUUGUGCACUGCUCGACCUGAGAGACCCAUGGCAUUCCUCAGGGAAUACUUUGAGAGGUUGGAGAAGAGGAGGCAAAACAGAUUCAGAAUCUGCAGAAAGCAGGCACUCGUACAGACUCAAGGGAGGAUGAGAUUUCUCCUCCUCCACCCAA
Molecule: long non-coding RNA, 409 nt
Filed under: Homo sapiens (human)
Lineage: Eukaryota; Metazoa; Chordata; Mammalia; Primates; Hominidae
Description: long non-coding RNA NONHSAT055538.2
Source: RNAcentral